CUGGCCCUGUGCCUGUCGGCAGUGGGUGCUGUGUGGCCUGGGCCAGCAGCCUGAUCUCUCUGAGCCUCUGGUUCCUCUGGUGUGGCCUGUGUUCAGUUGUGGAUGGCCGUCAGGGUUCUGCUGUGGGGACGAGACCCAAGGACGCCCACAGUCACUGUCAUUGCUGGUAUAAGCCGGCUGACAUUUGCGGGGGCCACUGGCCCUCAAAC
RNAcentral lists this long non-coding RNA (209 nucleotides) under Homo sapiens (human). RNAcentral's name for it is "HSALNT0156825". The record is from RNAcentral. Lineage: Eukaryota; Metazoa; Chordata; Mammalia; Primates; Hominidae.